RNAcentral lists this long non-coding RNA (230 nucleotides) under Prunus persica (peach). RNAcentral's name for it is "long non-coding RNA (PPER_LNC005379)". Lineage: Eukaryota; Viridiplantae; Streptophyta; Magnoliopsida; Rosales; Rosaceae. The record is from RNAcentral.
AGGACUAAGAGCAAGGAUACCGCUAUAGACACCAUCAUAUGGUGGAUCAAGUCCUCCAAGAAAAUCAUAAACUCGAUCGGCUUCAAGUUCUUUCAGACGACAAGCCCCAUCAUCGGCACAACUAUAUUCAUGUGGACGCAAACAAUCAAUCUCAUACCAUAUAGCAUGGAGUUUUUCAUAGAACAUUUUGACAUAUUCACCAUUCUAUCACGUCAUGAUGGACUGCCGUC